UAAAGUUUGAGUUAAAUAACUCACUAUCCAAUUACAUUGGAGAUAAAUGAAUUGGAAUUUAUAUAUUUUAUUUAUUAAUUUUUUCCAACUCAUUUAUCUUCAAUGUGAUUGGAUGAUGAGUUAUUUAACCCAAACUUUA
Molecule: microRNA precursor, 139 nt
Filed under: Lotus japonicus
Lineage: Eukaryota; Viridiplantae; Streptophyta; Magnoliopsida; Fabales; Fabaceae
Description: miR11108o stem-loop (lja-MIR11108o)
Source: miRBase by way of RNAcentral